RNAcentral lists this unclassified non-coding RNA (205 nucleotides) under Hevea brasiliensis (rubber tree). The record is from RNAcentral. Lineage: Eukaryota; Viridiplantae; Streptophyta; Magnoliopsida; Malpighiales; Euphorbiaceae.
AAUACUCCUCAACUGUCAUGGGACUCCAGCAAUCCAAUUGUCUUCUUCUCCAGUCGAAAGCCUGGACCGCUAACCCGGGCGAAGAUUUUAGCUGCUGUAAGAGCUCAACAACUGCAGAACCAUCUGCAUACCUACUAAACAACGAAACCCCUUUAUCUGCUAAUAUUUUCUCAAACAUUUCAGCAUCACCACUGUAUGCUAACAA